GGCCUACGGGAGGCAGCAGUGGGGAAUAUUGGACAAUGGGGGCAACCCUGAUCCAGCCAUGCCGCGUGAGUGAAGAAGGCCUUCGGGUUGUAAGGCUCUUUCAGAUGUGAAGAUGAUGACGGUAGCAUCAGAAGAAGCCCCGGCUAAUUUCGUGCCAGCAGCCGCGGUAAU
Molecule: ribosomal RNA, 171 nt
Filed under: uncultured Thalassospira sp.
Lineage: Bacteria; Pseudomonadati; Pseudomonadota; Alphaproteobacteria; Rhodospirillales; Thalassospiraceae
Description: partial 16S ribosomal RNA
Rfam family: Bacterial small subunit ribosomal RNA
Source: RNAcentral